This 444-nucleotide ribosomal RNA is filed under the name uncultured bacterium. Its description in RNAcentral is "SSU rRNA". It matches the Rfam family "Bacterial small subunit ribosomal RNA", at positions 26 to 518 of the family's 1533-position model. The record is from RNAcentral.
AGAACGAACGCUGGCGGCAGGCUUAACACAUGCAAGUCGAACGAAUGCAGCAAUGCAUUAGUGGCGCACGGGUGAGUAACGCGUGGAUAUCUGCCUUUUGGUUCGGGAUAACCUUGGGAAACUAGGGCUAAUACCGAAUGGUUCCUACGGGAUAAAGAUUUAUCGCCAAAAGAUGAGUCCGCGUACGAUUAGCUAGUUGGUGAGGUAAUGGCUCACCAAGGCGACGAUCGUUAGCUGGUCUGAGAGGACGAUCAGCCACACUGGGACUGAGACACGGCCCAGACUCCUACGGGAGGCAGCAGUGGGGAAUAUUGGACAAUGGGGGCAACCCUGAUCCAGCCAUGCCGCGUGAGUGAUGAAGGCCUUCGGGUGUAAGCUCUUUUGGCGGGACGAUGAUGACGGUACCGCAGAAUAACGCCCGGCUAACUUCGUGCCAGCAGCCGC